Molecule: ribosomal RNA, 508 nt
Filed under: uncultured bacterium
Lineage: Bacteria
Description: partial 16S ribosomal RNA
Rfam family: Bacterial small subunit ribosomal RNA
Source: RNAcentral
GACGAACGCUGGCGGCGUGCCUAAUACAUGCAAGUCGAACGCUUCUUUCCUCCCGAGUGCUUGCACUCAAUUGGAAAGAGGAGUGGCGGACGGGUGAGUAACACGUGGGUAACCUACCCAUCAGAGGGGGAUAACACUUGGAAACAGGUGCUAAUACCGCAUAACAGUUUAUGCCGCAUGGCAUAAGAGUGAAAGGCGCUUUCGGGUGUCGCUGAUGGAUGGACCCGCGGUGCAUUAGCUAGUUGGUGAGGUAACGGCUCACCAAGGCCACGAUGCAUAGCCGACCUGAGAGGGGGAUCGGCCACACUGGGACUGAGACACGGCCCAGACUCCUACGGGAGGCAGCAGUAGGGAAUCUUCGGCAAUGGACGAAAGUCUGACCGAGCAACGCCGCGUGAGUGAAGAAGGUUUUCGGAUCGUAAAACUCUGUUGUUAGAGAAGAACAAGGACGUUAGUAACUGAACGUCCCCUGACGGUAUCUAACCAGAAAGACACGGCUAACUACGUG